RNAcentral lists this ribosomal RNA (492 nucleotides) under uncultured bacterium. Its description in RNAcentral is "partial 16S ribosomal RNA". It matches the Rfam family "Bacterial small subunit ribosomal RNA", at positions 29 to 507 of the family's 1533-position model. The record is from RNAcentral.
AGUGAACGCUGGCGGUAGGCCUAACACAUGCAAGUCGAACGGCAGCACAGUAAGAGCUUGCUCUUACGGGUGGCGAGUGGCGGACGGGUGAGGAAUACAUCGGAAUCUACUUUUUCGUGGGGGAUAACGUAGGUAAACUUACGCUAAUACCGCAUACGACCUACGGUUGAAAGCAGGGGAUCUUCGGACCUUUCGCGAUUGAAUGAGCCGAUGUCGGAUUAGCUAGUUGGCGGGGUAAAGGCCCACCAAGGCGACGAUCCGUAGCUGGUCUGAGAGGAUGAUCAGCCACACUGGAACUGAGACACGGUCCAGACUCCUACGGGAGGCAGCAGUGGGGAAUAUUGGACAAUGGGCGCAAGCCUGAUCCAGCCAUACCGCGUGGGUGAAGAAGGCCUUCGGGUUGUAAAGCCCUUUUGUUGGGAAAGAAAAGCAGCAGGUUAAUACCCCGCUGUUCUGACGGUACCCAAAGAAUAAGCACCGGCUAACUUCGUG